GACGGACGCUGGCGGCAUGCCUAACACAUGCAAGUCGAGCGAGUAGAUCCCUUCGGGGUGAAGCUAGCGGCGGACGGGUGAGUAACACGUGGGCAACCUGCCUCAUAGAGGGGAAUAGCCUUCCGAAAGGAAGAUUAAUACCGCAUAAGAUUGUAGCUUCGCAUGAAGCAGCAAUUAAAGGAGCAAUCCGCUAUGAGAUGGGCCCGCGGCGCAUUAGCUAGUUGGUGAGGUAACGGCUCACCAAGGCGACGAUGCGUAGCCGACCUGAGAGGGUGAUCGGCCACAUUGGGACUGGGACACGGCCCAGACUCCUACGGGAGGCAGCAGUGGGGAAUAUUGCACAAUGGGGGAAACCCUGAUGCAGCAAUGCCGCGUGAGUGAUGACGGCCUUCGGGUUGUAAAGCUCUGUCUUCGGGGACGAUAAUGACGGUACCCGAGGAGGAAGCCACGGCUAACUACGUGCCAGCAGCCGCCGUAA
This 478-nucleotide ribosomal RNA is filed under the name uncultured bacterium. Its description in RNAcentral is "partial 16S ribosomal RNA". It matches the Rfam family "Bacterial small subunit ribosomal RNA", at positions 28 to 523 of the family's 1533-position model. The record is from RNAcentral.